GACGAACGCUGGCGGCGUGCCUAAUACAUGCAAGUAGAACGCUGAAGAGAGGAGCUUGCUCUUCUUGGAUGAGUUGCGAACGGGUGAGUAACGCGUAGGUAACCUGCCUUGUAGCGGGGGAUAACUAUUGGAAACGAUAGCUAAUACCGCAUAACAAUGGAUGACACAUGUCAUUUAUUUGAAAGGGGCAAUUGCUCCACUACAAGAUGGACCUGCGUUGUAUUAGCUAGUAGGUGAGGUAAUGGCUCACCUAGGCGACGAUACAUAGCCGACCUGAGAGGGUGAUCGGCCACACUGGGACUGAGACACGGCCCAGACUCCUACGGGAGGCAGCAGUAGGGAAUCUUCGGCAAUGGGGGCAACCCUGACCGAGCAACGCCGCGUGAGUGAAGAAGGUUUUCGGAUCGUAAAGCUCUGUUGUAAGUCAAGAACGGGUGUGAGAGUGGAAAGUUCACACUGUGACGGUAGCUUACCAGAAAGGGACGGCUAACUACGUGCCAGCAGCCGCGGUAAUACGUAGGUCCCGAGCGUUGUCCGGAUUUAUUGGGCGUAAAGCGAGCGCAGGCGGUUUGAUAAGUCUGAAGUUAAAGGCUGUGGCUCAACCAUAGUUCGCUUUGGAAACUGUCAAACUUGAGUGCAGAAGGGGAGAGUGGAAUUCCAUGUGUAGCGGUGAAAUGCGUAGAUAUAUGGAGGAACACCGGUGGCGAAAGCGGCUCUCUGGUCUGUAACUGACGCUGAGGCUCGAAAGCGUGGGGAGCGAACAGGAUUAGAUACCCUGGUAGUCCACGCCGUAAACGAUGAGUGCUAGGUGUUGGAUCCUUUCCGGGAUUCAGUGCCGCAGCUAACGCAUUAAGCACUCCGCCUGGGGAGUACGACCGCAAGGUUGAAACUCAAAGGAAUUGACGGGGGCCCGCACAAGCGGUGGAGCAUGUGGUUUAAUUCGAAGCAACGCGAAGAACCUUACCAGGUCUUGACAUCCCGAUGCUAUUUCUAGAGAUAGAAAGUUACUUCGGUACAUCGGUGACAGGUGGUGCAUGGUUGUCGUCAGCUCGUGCCGUGAGAUGUUGGGUUAAGUCCCGCAACGAGCGCAACCCCUAUUGUUAGUUGCCAUCAUUCAGUUGGGCACUCUAGCGAGACUGCCGGUAAUAAACCGGAGGAAGGUGGGGAUGACGUCAAAUCAUCAUGCCCCUUAUGACCUGGGCUACACACGUGCUACAAUGGUUGGUACAACGAGUUGCGAGUCGGUGACGGCGAGCUAAUCUCUUAAAGCCAAUCUCAGUUCGGACUGUAGGCUGCAACUCGCCUACAUGAAGUCGGAAUCGCUAGUAAUCGCGGAUCAGCACGCCGCGGUGAAUACGUUCCCGGGCCU
Molecule: ribosomal RNA, 1369 nt
Filed under: uncultured bacterium
Lineage: Bacteria
Description: bacterial SSU rRNA
Rfam family: Bacterial small subunit ribosomal RNA
Source: RNAcentral